GUGGGGAAUAUUGGACAAUGGGCGAAAGCCUGAUCCAGCCAUGCCGCGUGUGUGAAGAAGGUCUUCGGAUUGUAAAGCACUUUAAGCUGGGAGGAAGGGCAGUAAGUUAAUACCUUGCUGUUUUGACGUUACCGACAGAAUAAGCACCGGCUAACUUCGUGCCAGCAGCCGCGGUAAUACGAAGGGUGCAAGCGUUAAUCGGAAUUACUGGGCGUAAAGCGCGAGUAGGAGGUGAAAUCCCCGGGCUCAACCUGGGAACUGCCUCCAAAACUGCAGGACUAGAGUACGGGAGAGGGUAGUGGAAUUUCCUGUGUAGCGGUGAAAUGCGUAGAUAUAGGAAGGAACACCAGUGGCGAAGGCGACUACCUGGACUGAUACUGACACUGAGGUGCGAAAGCGUGGGGAGCAAACAGGAUUAGAAACCCCAGUAGUCC
Molecule: ribosomal RNA, 434 nt
Filed under: uncultured bacterium
Lineage: Bacteria
Description: partial 16S ribosomal RNA
Rfam family: Bacterial small subunit ribosomal RNA
Source: RNAcentral